ACAGAGCUGAGGUAAAUACUGUAGAGACACUGUACCGUAGAUACCUACCCUACAGAGCUGAGGUAAAUACUGUAGAUACACUGUACCAUGAUACCUACCCUACAGAGCUGAGGUAAAAUACUGUAGAUACACUGUACCGUAGAUAUCUACCCUACAGAGCUGAGGGAAAUACUGUAGAUACACUGUACCGUAGAUAUCUACCCUACAGAGCUGAAGUAAAUACUGUAGAUACAUUGUACCGUAGAUACCUGCCCUACAGAGCUGAGGUAAAUACUGUAGAUACACUGUGCCAUGAUACCUACCCUACAGAGCUGAGGUAAAUACUGUAGAUACACUGUACCAUGAUACCUGCCCUACAGAGCUGAGGUAAAUACUGUAGAGACACUGUACCGUAGAUACCUGCCCUACAGAGCUGAGGUAAAUACUGUAGAGACACUGUACCGUAGAUACCUGCCCUACAGAGCUGAGGUAAAUACUGUAGAGACACUGUACCGUAGAUACCUACCCUACAGAGCUGAGGUAAAUACUGUAGAGACACUGUACCGUAGAUACCUGCCCUACAGAGCUGAGGUAAAUACUGUAGAGACACUGUACCGUAGAUACCUGCCCUACAGAGCUGAGGUAAAUACUGUAGAGACACUGUACCGUAGAUACCUACACUACAGAGCUGAGGGAAAUACUGUAGAUAUACUGUACCAUGAUACCUGCCCUAC
Oncorhynchus keta (chum salmon) is the source of this 713-nucleotide long non-coding RNA. RefSeq lists it as uncharacterized. Lineage: Eukaryota; Metazoa; Chordata; Actinopteri; Salmoniformes; Salmonidae. The transcript is spliced from 3 exons. The record is from RefSeq and is a predicted model, not a curated record.